Molecule: ribosomal RNA, 497 nt
Filed under: uncultured bacterium
Lineage: Bacteria
Description: partial 16S ribosomal RNA
Rfam family: Bacterial small subunit ribosomal RNA
Source: RNAcentral
GACGGACGCUGGCGGCGUGCCUAAUACAUGCAAGUCGAGCGGAGAAGGCUGGUUCUUGUACCAACUGGAAGUGCCGCGCACGGGUGAGUCACGCGUGGGGCAUCUGCUUUUGAGUGGGGUACCACCUUUGGACACGAAUGCUAAUCCGGCAUAAACACUUUAAACACAGGGUUGAUGUUUGAAAGUUGCAGUUUCAGCACUGAAAGAUGAUCUCGCGUUGUAUUAGCUGGUUGGUGAGGUAAAGGCGCACCAAGGCGAUGAUACAUAGCCGAACUGAGAGGGUGAUAGGCCACAUUGGGACUGAGACACGGCCCAAACUCCUACGGGAGGCAGCAGUAGGGAAGCUUCGGCAAUGGACGAAAGUCUGACCGAGCAACGCCGCGGGAGUGAAGAAGGUUUUCGGAUCGUAAAACUCUGUUGGUAGAGAAGAACGUUGGUGAGAGUGGAAAGCUCAUCAAGUGACGGUAACUACCCAGAAAGGGACGGCUAACUACGUG